RNAcentral lists this ribosomal RNA (253 nucleotides) under uncultured bacterium. RNAcentral describes it as "partial 16S ribosomal RNA". It matches the Rfam family "Bacterial small subunit ribosomal RNA", at positions 524 to 776 of the family's 1533-position model. The record is from RNAcentral.
UACGUAGGGGGCAAGCGUUGUCCGGAAUCAUUGGGCGUAAAGCGCGCGUAGGCGGCCCGGUAAGUCCGUUGUGAAAGUCAAAGGCUCAACCUUUGAACGCCGAUGGAUACUGCCGGGCUAGAGUCCGGAAGAGGCGAGUGGAAUUCCUGGUGUAGCGGUGGAAUGCGCAGAUAUCAGGAGGAACACCAAUAGCGAAAGCAGCUCUCUGGGACGGUACUGACGCUGAGACGCGAAAGCGUGGGGAGCGAACAGG